GUGCGCCCUUCACAGCUUGCACCACCCACCCGCCCCUCUUUUCACAUCACAUAUACGAGCAUACACGCACCAUGUCCUCCCAAUCUGGAGCUGCUGCCGCGACCAAGGCGCUUGUGCGCUGCACGCGACGCAUCCGCGACCCGUUAAACUACCUCGUCAUGCAGCCGACGGAUCCUGACCAGGUCACCACUUCCAUCCGCACCGCUGACGCGGCCAUGGUAACGUGGUUUGUUCCCCUGCACAAUCUCCAGUACUGCCUGCACAAGCGGUACGAGGCGGAGCAGUUCGGGGUGAUGAUCUUGCCCAAAGGUAUGGCCGUCCCAGAGGCAAAGCCGCUGACGCCGACGGAGGACAGCGUGAAGGCGGCGGCGGCGCGGCGUGGGCCGUCUGUGGUUCCGCGGUUCAUGCGCAUGACGGCUCCGCGACCGAGCGGGGCUGCCGGAUCCUCGCCCGCGUCCUCGCCCUCGCGGCUUUCCUCUUCGCCAUCCCUAUCAGAAGGCGGCAAUCAGCUCAACAACUACGUGAACGAGGAUGGUGACACGGUGGUGCCUCUGGGGCUCGUCACGAUGAUCGUCGGUAACAACAUUCCUGCAAAGCAGUCGUGGCUGGAACGCCUCAUCGACCCUGCGCCGCACCCAACGCUCUCGAUGCGAGUCAUGGUGGUCGACCGCAUUCACUGGCAACGCACGAGCUGGCUGGCCGGAAGCAUCUGCAACAGCCUCUGCUGGGGGCGACUGCCGCAGCGCAUCUUCUCCAUCAACCUCGACUACAAGAAUCCAGUGUACAUCUCCGGCGGAAAUGCGGCGGACGCGGCGACGGCGGCAGCCAAGGAGAGCGCGCCGCUGUUCAGCAAGCACUCACGGCAGCCGUUGGUGUUCGACAAGGUGACGCAGCGCUACACGUCGCCCUUUCAAAUCGACGUUCCUGGCUUGAACUUUAGGCUGAAAAUCGAGGACACCGGCAAGACACUCUUCGAUACCACCUCGCGGGUUGUGGACGGCUUCCUCGACAACGAAAGUGCCCUGCACCGGCUGGCGCUGUCGCGCGAGGUGAACAUGCUCGGACUCGGCGGCUCUGUGUACCGGCAAACGUUGUGGAGCAGUCCGUCGCUACCCAACGUUGGCCGCAUCGUCGAGUGCGAGCUCGGCUCCCUCUUCGAGCGCUACUUUGGCUGCUCGCCGGUGGGCGACCCUGUCGCCACAUGGCUAGUGGACGCAGUGGACAAGACGCUCAUCUACCAGAUGGAGGGCGAAGUCGAGGACGAAAACGACCCGAACAGCGCCACGACGUAUGGCGACCGUUCUCUGACGGAGCGCGUGCAAAAGAAGGCGAUGAACCGGUACAACAGCUUCCGCGACGACAUCCGGCACAAGACGUACAGCGAGCUCGCUGGUGACGAGGUGCCACGUUGAGGGAGGAGUGAGGCAGAGAGCACAGUGCGCAACGGAAAGGAGCACGACACAUUCGCCCACGCGGGUAGGUCGGUGUGCCGUCCGCUUCCUCCUCCGCUCAGCCGUCUCGUGACCUCCUUUUCUCGCGAUAGAUGACGCGCAGCGGCUAGUCUGUGCAUGUCCGGUGGCGGUGUCGAUGCUUGCUGAAUAACGCACGCAAUCACGUUAAGGA
Molecule: unclassified non-coding RNA, 1623 nt
Filed under: Leishmania donovani
Lineage: Eukaryota; Euglenozoa; Kinetoplastea; Trypanosomatida; Trypanosomatidae
Description: gene:LdHU3.22.1490(CDS-product:hypothetical_prote in_conserved)
Source: RNAcentral